CAGUAGCCACGGUAAUACGGAGGGGGCUAGCGUUGUUCGGAAUUACUGGGCGUAAAGCGUACGUAGGCGGCUUUGUAAGUUAGAGGUGAAAGCCCGGAGCUCAACUCCGGAAUUGCCUUUAAGACUGCAUCGCUUGAAUUGUGGAGAGGUGAGUGGGAUUCCGAGUGUAGAGGUGAAAUUCGUAGAUAUUCGGAAGAACACCAGUGGCGAAGGCGGCUCACUGGACACGUAUUGACGCUGAGGUACGAAAGCGUGGGGAGCAAACAGGAUUAGAUACCCCAGUAGUCCCUGUCUCUUAUAC
This 301-nucleotide ribosomal RNA is filed under the name uncultured bacterium. RNAcentral's name for it is "partial 16S ribosomal RNA". It matches the Rfam family "Bacterial small subunit ribosomal RNA", at positions 509 to 807 of the family's 1533-position model. The record is from RNAcentral.